AUACGAGGGGUGCAAGCGUUGUUCGGAAUUACUGGGCGUAAAGGGAGCGUAGGCGGAGAUUCAAGCGGAUUGUACAAUCCCGGGGCCCAACCCCGGCUCUGCAGUCCGAACUGGAUCUCUUGGAUAGUUCAGGGGCAGGCGGAAUUCCUGGUGUAGCGGUGGAAUGCGUAGAGAUCAGGAAGAACACCGAUGGCGAAGGCAGCCUGCUGGGGACUUAUCGACGCUGAGGCUCGAGAGUGCGGGUAGCAAACAGGAUUAGAUACCCUGGUAGUCCGCACCGUAAACGAUGCAUACUGGGUGUCCGGGGGUUCCCCCGGGUACCGUAGCCAACGCGUUAAGUAUGCCGCCUGGGGAGUACGUACGCAAGUAUGAAACUCAAAGGAAUUGACGGGG
RNAcentral lists this ribosomal RNA (393 nucleotides) under uncultured bacterium. Its description in RNAcentral is "partial 16S ribosomal RNA". It matches the Rfam family "Bacterial small subunit ribosomal RNA", at positions 523 to 918 of the family's 1533-position model. The record is from RNAcentral.